RNAcentral lists this ribosomal RNA (327 nucleotides) under uncultured eukaryote. RNAcentral describes it as "partial 18S ribosomal RNA". It matches the Rfam family "Eukaryotic small subunit ribosomal RNA", at positions 1470 to 1796 of the family's 1831-position model. The record is from RNAcentral.
CCCUUAGAUGUUCUGGGCCGCACGCGCGCUACACUGACGAAUGCAACGAGCUUAUAACCUUGGCCGAAAGGUCUGGGUAAUCUCCAAAUUUCGUCGUGAUGGGGAUAGAUUAUUGCAAUUAUUAAUCUUCAACGAGGAAUGCCUAGUAAGCGCAAGUCAUCAGCUUGCGUUGAUUACGUCCCUGCCCUUUGUACACACCGCCCGUCGCUCCUACCGAUUGAAUGGUCCGGUGAAGCGUCCGGACCGUGGCCUUUGGACGGUUCGCCGUCUGUUGGCUGCGGGAAGUUCGUUAAACCUUAUCAUUUAGAGGAAGGAGAAGUCGUAACA